This 577-nucleotide long non-coding RNA is filed under the name Ornithorhynchus anatinus (platypus). RNAcentral's name for it is "lncRNA (ENSOANG00000047448.1)". The record is from RNAcentral. Lineage: Eukaryota; Metazoa; Chordata; Mammalia; Monotremata; Ornithorhynchidae.
UAAUGGACAUCUGUUACUUCCUGAUUGCCAAAGGACUGUCCAGUCCUGCCGAGUGCUGUGAGGGGCCACCUUACGCAGUGGCAGAGUCUGGCAUGCUAGCAGAAUGCUGUGGAGUGGCACGUGUCAGAGGACACCUCAGUUCACGUCGGACCAUUCACAGCAGCAGAAGGGCAGGAUCGGCUGUAGAAAAGGAGACUGAAGAGUUUUCUGCCCCUGCCCAGGGGAGCAAGGUUCCAUGUAGAAGAACCAAUGUGUGCCCAAGAGGCACAGCUGCUAGACCACAGUUCAGAGCCAGAGAAAUUACUUCCACCUCUACCCUACCCUGGCAGCCACUCGAAUUAGGAAUACUGACAUGUUUACAGACAUUAUGGAUGUGACCGAUUUGGGGAUCUUAUGGGCGGUCCAUAAAUUUACAGAAAGUUGACAACACCAUUGUCCCGGAAUACUAUGGGACUUGAUACCUAUAUUUCCUUCCCCAAACUCAACUGGCCUCUUACCAAGAGGAAAGGGAAAGGCCUAGUGGAGAUAAGAUUAAUGACUUUGGAAACCCAUGCCACUAGCGCCACCUCGGAGCCCA